RNAcentral lists this ribosomal RNA (460 nucleotides) under uncultured bacterium. RNAcentral's name for it is "partial 16S ribosomal RNA". It matches the Rfam family "Bacterial small subunit ribosomal RNA", at positions 338 to 795 of the family's 1533-position model. The record is from RNAcentral.
CCUACGGGUGGCAGCAGUGAGGAAUAUUGGUCAAUGGACGAGAGUCUGAACCAGCCAAGUAGCGUGAAGGAUGACUGCCCUAUGGGUUGUAAACUUCUUUUAUAUGGGAAUAAAAUGUUCCACGUGUGGGAUUUUGUAUGUACCAUAUGAAUAAGGAUCGGCUAACUCCGUGCCAGCAGCCGCGGUAAUACGGAGGAUCCGACAGUUAUCCGGAUUUAUUGGGUUUAAAGGGAGCGUAGGUGGAUUGUUAAGUCAGUUGUGAAAGUUUGCGGCUCAACCGUAAAAUUGCAGUUGAAACUGGCAGUCUUGAGUACAGUAGAGGUGGGCGGAAUUCGUGGUGUAGCGGUGAAAUGCUUAGAUAUCACGAAGAACUCCGAUUGCGAAGGCAGUUCACUGGACUGCAACUGACACUGAGGCUCGAAAGUGUGGGUAUCAAACAGGAUUAGAUACCCGUGUAGUC